AUGCUCUCUCAAGCUGGCUACAUGGUCCUGGAUCAAACUAAUAUGGAAUCAUGGGAUGAGGAUCAGCUGAUCAGGACACUUCGAAGAUUUCUUGCAGACAAGAGGUACUUUAUUGUAAUUGACGACAUAUGGGAUGCAACAACGUGGAGUAUUAUUAGGUGCGCUCUGCCAGAAAACAUGAACGGCAGCAGAGUAAUAACAACUACACGAAUUGUGACUGUGGCUACAGCGUGCUGCUCCAAUAGCUAUGAUUAUCUUUAUAAGAUGAAAUUACUUAGUGAUGAAGAGUCAAGAAAGUUAUUUUUCAGAAGGGUUUUUGGUUCAGAGGAUGGUUGUCCUACGUAUUUGGAAGACGUUUCGGCUGAAAUUCUAACAAGAUGUGGUGGCUUGCCACUCGCAAUUAUCAGUAUAUCCAGCCUUUUAGCCAGUCAACCAAAGAUGCUGAAGGGGCAAUGGGAGGACAUAUUGAAUUCUUUGGGCUCCAACUUUGAAGUGCAUCCCACAUUGGACGGAAUGAGAAAAAUACUAAACCUUAGCUACACAAAUCUUCCUCAUUAUUUGAAGACAUGUAUGCUGUAUUUGGGUAUAUAUCCAGAGGAUUAUACAAUCAACAAGAAUGAUUUGGUCAGGCAAUGGUUAGCCCAAGGUUUUACAAGUAUAUCACACGUGCGGGAUCCAGAGGCUGUUGCAGAGGGCUAUUUCAAUGAACUUGUCAACAGGAGCAUUGUUCAACCGGUAGAUACAGAUCAUAAUGAUGAGGUGUUGUCUUGCAAAGUGCAUGAUAUGAUGCUUGAUCUUAUUAUGCACAAGUGUAGAGAAGAGAAUUUUAUCACUGCAGUAGACGACUUACAAGCCGUGAUUGGACUGCAAGGCAAUGUCCGUCGACUCUCCCUCUGCUUGGAUGGUGUGAUAGAUGGCACUACAUUGGGAGCAACCCAGCUCUCACAAGUAAGAGCGCUAGCAAGAUUUGGUAUCUCCACAUAUACGCCGCCUCUAUCAGAGUUUAAGCAUCUCCGAAUCUUAACUCUUGAAUUUCCAACUAGGCUUGUGACACUUGACCUCACAGGAAUGUGUCAUUUGUUCCUGUUGAGGUACCUAAAAGUUGUAGCAGCUUACGGUGAAAUAGUGCUACCAAGGAAAAUUCAGAGACUGGAGCAAUUAGAGACGCUUGAAUUAAGAACUUACGAAUAUAGCGUGGUUCAAGUUCCAUCAGAUAUUGUUCAUCUGCGCCAGUUAUUGCACCUGAUCGUUCCUAUCGGGAUAAGUUUGCCCUCUAGGAUUGGCAGCAUGAAAUCCCUACGGACACUGCGAGGCUUCGACUUGGGAAUGAACUCAGUAGAAAACAUCAGAGACCUCGGAGGUCUGACCAAUCUGAAGGACCUUGAAAUAUGUCGUGUCUACCGGAAGCAAUUGGAUGAGACAGAAGCAGCAAAACUUAUGAAUAUUUUGAGAUUCUCCCUAGAAAAACUUUGCAACCUCAGAUACCUGUGUAUGGAAUCUUAUCUCCCCAGCGCAUGCUCGGAUGCAUUGGGUUCACUAUCCGCUUCUCCCCGCCUUCUUCGCAGACUCCAUUUACGGGGUUGCAUGCUAUCGAGGGUUCCCGAGUGGAUUCAUGAGCUCCAUAACCUCUACGACCUUGCGCUAGGGGUUAAGGAGCUGUUGGAUGAUGGUGUUGGAAUCAUUGCACAGUUGCACUCCCUCAUCCACCUGCAUUUGUACAUCUUUGGAACUCCUAAAGAGAGGGUCACCAUCUGCGAACAGGAUUCCUUGCUCUCAAGCAUUUCCAAGUCACCUGCCGUUGGACAUCAUACCUGGCGUUCGAGGCAGGGGCAAUGCCCAAGCUCCAGAGGCUCGAGGUCGGAUUCAAUGCGCGCGGAUGGGAGCAACACGGUGCUGCUUUUGUCGGCAUCGAGCACUUGUCAGGCCUCAAGGAAGUCUCCGUACGCAUUGGGGGAUAUGGCGCCGAGGAAUCGAGUGCAAGAGCUGCGCAGUCUGUGCUUAGGGAUGCCAUUGGCAUACACCCGAAUUGUCCUAGAGCUAACAUCAAGUGUGACGAGAACAUGA
This 2064-nucleotide ribosomal RNA is filed under the name Triticum aestivum (bread wheat). Its description in RNAcentral is "partial small subunit ribosomal RNA". Lineage: Eukaryota; Viridiplantae; Streptophyta; Magnoliopsida; Poales; Poaceae. The record is from RNAcentral.